Molecule: long non-coding RNA, 616 nt
Organism: Poeciliopsis prolifica (blackstripe livebearer)
Lineage: Eukaryota; Metazoa; Chordata; Actinopteri; Cyprinodontiformes; Poeciliidae
Exons: 3
Source: RefSeq, a predicted model, not a curated record
CAAAACCUCAAUAUAGUCCAAGUUAAAGCUGCAUUAUGAAACGUUUACAAAAAUAUGUUUUUUCACAUAUCAGUCAAAACUGUAACCAUGUAUGAAAUGAGACAGAUAAUCUGUGAAGAGAUUCAUCUUCACAGUGUAGAAACAACCAAUCGGAGCGAUGAGGCGGGUCUCAGUGCUGUCAAUCAACCUCGCGUUAGCACAAUGUGCCAAUGGUGGAGAAACAUCUUACCGUUCCAGAAAAACACUUGGUGGCAGCAUUUCCUCAGGCAGACGUUUUCACCGAACCAGUUCUGUAAGGUUCUGGUCGAAACAAUGCGGGUCAUUACUUAAGAGGAGGAGAAUCAGUCAUGACUCCGCCCUGUAAUGAUAACUCAAGGAGGAUGCAAACCAAAUCAUCAAAACCGACGCAAUGAAGAAACUGUGAAUCACACCUUUAACACUGUUACCGGACAGAAUUGAACAAAAUGUUCAGAGAACAGAUAAUGCUCAGCUUCUUUAUUUGGUCCAGCUGUAUCACUUUCCUGGUUUCAGGUUCCUCCCUAAGCGACAAAGUCCGACAGUACCCAGCAGAACUCUUCAAAUCCUCCGCUGACACGAACGCUGAGAUCAGCUGUUC